CGCUGUCAAAAAGAGCUGACGCAAAUCCUUCAUUUUCCACACUUCAACAGCUGAAAAACACCCACUUUUAGCUCUUGGUUUGUUCUAAUGGGUGGAUUGUGUGCAAUCGCUGUAAUAUUUUAUUUUUAAAAGGUCUUAAACAAGAAUAAAUUCGUUUCUUGCGAGCUCGUUGUGUCACUGCACGAGAAGCCGCGCCGUCUCGCGCUGUCAAAAGAGCUGAUGCAAAUCGUUCAUUUUCAAACUUCAAGAGCUCAAAAACACCCUCUUUUAGCUCUUGGUUUGUUCUAAUGGGUGGAUUGUGUGCAAUCGCUGUAAUAUUUUAUUUUUAAAAGGUCUUAAACAAGAAUAAAUUCGUUUGUUGUGAG
Molecule: long non-coding RNA, 365 nt
Organism: Cyprinus carpio carpio
Lineage: Eukaryota; Metazoa; Chordata; Actinopteri; Cypriniformes; Cyprinidae
Source: Ensembl